CAAGUCGAACGAAACAGGAAUUACCCUGCCUAAUUUGCUGACGAGAGGCGCCCGGAUUGCGUAACGACGUAUACAAUCUACCCUUUUGCUGAGGGAUAGCCCAAAGAAAUUUGGAUUAAUACCUCAUGGUAUUAUUGAUAGGCAUCUGUUAAUAAUUAACGGUUACGGCAAAAGAUGAGUAUGCGUCCCAUUAGCUAGUUGGAGAGGUAACGGCUCACCAAGGCAACGAUGGGUAGGGGUCCUGAAAGGGAAAUCCCCCCCACUGGUACUGACACACGCACCAAAAUCCUACGGGAGGGAGCACAGAAGAAUAUUGGAAAAACGGUGAGAAAACCUGUUCCACCCUUGCC
RNAcentral lists this ribosomal RNA (350 nucleotides) under uncultured Bacteroidota bacterium. RNAcentral describes it as "bacterial SSU rRNA". It matches the Rfam family "Bacterial small subunit ribosomal RNA", at positions 58 to 398 of the family's 1533-position model. The record is from RNAcentral. Lineage: Bacteria; Pseudomonadati; Bacteroidota.